UACGGGGGGGGCAAGCGUUGUUCGGAAUUACUGGGCGUAAAGGGCUCGUAGGUGGCCAACUAAGUCAGACGUGAAAUCCCUCGGCUCAACUGAGGAACUGCCUUUGAAACUGUCGGGCUUGAGGCCGGGAGGGGGUAGCGGAAUUCCCAGUGUAGCGGUGAAAUGCGUAGAUAUUGGGAGGAACACCAGUGGCGAAGGCGGCUACCUGGACCGGUUCUGACGCUGAUGCGCGAAAGCGUGGGUAGCAAACAGG
This 253-nucleotide ribosomal RNA is filed under the name uncultured bacterium. RNAcentral describes it as "partial 16S ribosomal RNA". It matches the Rfam family "Bacterial small subunit ribosomal RNA", at positions 524 to 776 of the family's 1533-position model. The record is from RNAcentral.